UACGAAGGGUGCAAGCGUUACUCGGAAUUACUGGGCGUAAAGCGUGCGCAGGCGGUUAUGCAAGACAGAUGUGAAAUCCCCGGGCUUAACCUGGGAACUGCAUUUGUGACUGCAUAGCUGGAGUACGGUAGAGGGGGAUGGAAUUCCGCGUGUAGCAGUGAAAUGCGUAGAUAUGCGGAGGAACACCGAUGGCGAAGGCAGUCCCCUGGACCUGUACUGACGCUCAUGCACGAAAGCGUGGGGAGCAAACAGG
This 253-nucleotide ribosomal RNA is filed under the name uncultured bacterium. RNAcentral's name for it is "partial 16S ribosomal RNA". It matches the Rfam family "Bacterial small subunit ribosomal RNA", at positions 524 to 776 of the family's 1533-position model. The record is from RNAcentral.